CCAGACUCCUACGGGAGGCAGCAGUGGGGAAUAUUGCACAAUGGGGGAAACCCUGAUGCAGCGACGCCGCGUGAGCGAAGAAGUACCUCGGUAUGUAAAGCUCUAUCAGCAGGGAAGAAGAUGACGGUACCUGACCAAGAAGCUCCGGCUAAAUACGUGCCAGCAGCCGCGGUAAUACGUAUGGAGCAAGCGUUAUCCGGAUUUACUGGGUGUAAAGGGAGCGCAGGCGGCCUUGCAAGUCUGAUGUGAAACCCCGGGGCUCAACCCCGGGCAUGCAUUGGAAACUGGCGGGCUGGAGUGCCGGAGAGGUAAGCGGAAUUCCUAGUGUAGCGGUGAAAUGCGUAGAUAUUAGGAGGAACACCAGUGGCGAAGGCGGCUUACUGGACGGCAACUGACGCUGAGGCUCGAAAGCGUGGGGAGCAAACAGGAUUAGAUACCCCAGUA
RNAcentral lists this ribosomal RNA (444 nucleotides) under uncultured bacterium. RNAcentral's name for it is "partial 16S ribosomal RNA". It matches the Rfam family "Bacterial small subunit ribosomal RNA", at positions 331 to 792 of the family's 1533-position model. The record is from RNAcentral.